RNAcentral lists this ribosomal RNA (231 nucleotides) under uncultured bacterium. Its description in RNAcentral is "partial 16S ribosomal RNA". It matches the Rfam family "Bacterial small subunit ribosomal RNA", at positions 335 to 558 of the family's 1533-position model. The record is from RNAcentral.
AGUCCUACGGGAGGCAGCAGUAGGGAAUCUUCCACAAUGGACGAAAGUCCGAUGGAGCAACGCCGCGUGAGUGAAGAAGGGUUUCGGCUCGUAAAGCUCUGUUGGUAGGGAAGAAAGAUAGAGGUAGUAACUGGCCUUUAUUUUACGGUAAUUACUUAGAAAGUCACGGCUAACUACGUGCCAGCAGACUCGGUAAUACGUAGGUGGCAAGCGGUUUCCGGAUUUAUUGGG